This 497-nucleotide ribosomal RNA is filed under the name uncultured bacterium. RNAcentral describes it as "partial 16S ribosomal RNA". It matches the Rfam family "Bacterial small subunit ribosomal RNA", at positions 28 to 507 of the family's 1533-position model. The record is from RNAcentral.
GAUGAACGCUGGCGGCGUGCCUAAUACAUGCAAGUCGAGCGAACGGACGAGAAGCUUGCUUCUCUGAUGUUAGCGGCGGACGGGUGAGUAACACGUGGAUAACCUACCUAUAAGACUGGGAUAACUUCGGGAAACCGGAGCUAAUACCGGAUAAUAUUUUGAACCGCAUGGUUCAAAAGUGAAAGACGGUCUUGCUGUCACUUAUAGAUGGAUCCGCGCUUCAUUAGCUAGUUGGUAAGGUAACGGCUUACCAAGGCAACGAUGCAUAGCCGACCUGAGAGGGUGAUCGGCCACACUGGAACUGGGACACGGUCCAGACUCCUACGGGAGGCAGCAGUAGGGAAUCUUCCGCAAUGGGCGAAAGCCUGACGGAGCAACGCCGCGUGAGUGAUGAAGGUCUUCGGAUCGUAAAACUCUGUUAUUAGGGAAGAACAUAUGUGUAAGUAACUGUGCACAUCUUGACGGUACCUAAUCAGAAAGCCACGGCUAACUACGUG